Molecule: ribosomal RNA, 170 nt
Filed under: Dactyloptena peterseni (starry flying gurnard)
Lineage: Eukaryota; Metazoa; Chordata; Actinopteri; Syngnathiformes; Dactylopteridae
Description: partial 12S ribosomal RNA
Source: RNAcentral
CACCGCGGUUAUACGGAAGGCUCAAGUUGAUAGCCCCCGGCGUAAAGUGUGGUUAAGGAACCCCCUCAAACUAAAGUCAAACGCCCUCACUGCAGUCAUACGCCCCCGAGGGUAAGAAGCCCCACCACGAAAGUGACUUUAUAUAGCCUGAACCCACGAAAGCUAGGGAA